CCUACGGGCGGCAGCAGUCGAGAAUCAUUCACAAUGGGGGAAACCCUGAUGGUGCGACGCCGCGUGAGGGAAUGAAGGUCUUCGGAUUGUAAACCCCUGUCAUGUGGGAGCAAAUUAAAAAGAUAGUACCACAAGAGGAAGAGACGGCUAACUCUGUGCCAGCAGCCGCGGUAAUACAGAGGUCUCAAGCGUUGUUCGGAAUCACUGGGCGUAAAGCGUGCGUAGGCUGUUUCGUAAGUCGUGUGUGAAAGGCGCGGGCUCAACCCGCGGACGGCACAUGAUACUGCGAGACUAGAGUAAUGGAGGGGGAACCGGAAUUCUCGGGGUAGCAGUGAAAUGCGGAGAUAUCGAGAGGAACACUCGGGGCGAAGGCGGGUUCCUGGACAUUAACUGACGCUGAGGCACGAAGGCCAGGGGAGCGAAAGGGAUUAGAUACCCGUGUAGUC
This 446-nucleotide ribosomal RNA is filed under the name uncultured bacterium. RNAcentral describes it as "partial 16S ribosomal RNA". It matches the Rfam family "Bacterial small subunit ribosomal RNA", at positions 338 to 795 of the family's 1533-position model. The record is from RNAcentral.